Molecule: long non-coding RNA, 2554 nt
Filed under: Sus scrofa (pig)
Lineage: Eukaryota; Metazoa; Chordata; Mammalia; Artiodactyla; Suidae
Description: lncRNA (ENSSSCG00000063431.1)
Source: RNAcentral
UCCCGCGGCACAUGGAGGUUCCCAGGCUAGGGGUCGAAUCGGAGCUGUAGCCUCCCGCCUACACCAGAGCCACAGCAACGCAGGAUCCGCGCCGCGUCUGCAACCUACACCAUAGCUCACGGCAACGCCGGGUCCCUAACCCACUGAGCAAGGGCAGGGACCGAACCCGCAACCUCAUGGUUCCUAGUCGGAUUCGUUAACCACUGCGCCACGACGGAACUCCCCAAUGUUGUGUCCUGCUCCCUCCUCCUUCCUUUCCACACUGUCAUUCUGAAACACAGACACCAGCCUUAAAAUCAGAACCCAGAUCUUGACUUUUCACCUGUUCCACUCAUCAUUGAUUCAGUCAAGAAUCAUCAAUGGUGGAAAAGUUGGAUGAGGGCAGAGUAUUCACAGGCUUAAAGUAUCUCCUCUGAAGUUACUCAUUAAUUACGAAGGGGGCAAAACAGUAACUUUACAGUGGAGAAACCUAGCAGACACCUCCCUACGCAAGUGAUGGAAGUUAACGUCACCAGUAGGGAACAAUCGGAGUCAUGCUGGCUCCUGAUAGGAUGCACUGAGGCCCACAGCAUCACCUCUGUGAGAUUCCUGCCAACAAAUGCCUGGUUUCAAUCUGGUCGGAGUGAACAUCAGACUAACCCAAGCUGAGGGCUGUUCUACAAAAGGCCUGGCCCAGAUUCUUGAAAAAUAUUGAUGGCAUGAAAGAGAAAGGAAGCUGAGGAACUGUUCUACAUCAAAAACUGAAGUGAUAUAACUAAAGGAUUUAAAAAGAAUGUGUGAUCUGGAUUGGAUCCUAGACUAGAAAAACGUAUAUAUCGUUAUAAAGAACAUUACCGGAACAAUUAGGUAGUUUUAAUAUGGCUGGACUUUGAAUAAUGCAUUAUAUCAAUAUUAAGUUCCCUGAUUUUGAUUUUAUGUAAAAGAAUUUCCUUGCGACAUUCAUACUGAAGUGUUUAAGGGUUUGCAACUUUCUCUAAAAUAGUCCAAAGAAAGUAUAAACAUGUACAAAUACAUGCAAGCAGAAAGAAAGCAUCAAAACAAAUGCAGCAAAAUGUUUGCGCCUGCUGAAUUUGAGUGAAGCGUACACAGGAGUCCUUUGUACUAGUCCUGCAGCCUUUUGGUAAGCUGAAAUUAUUUCAAAAGAAAAAGGAAAAAAAGAAGAAAAAGCCUGAGCCAGGGUUAGUUAGAGCCAGUUGGAGCCAGGCACAGAGCCUCUCGGCAUUUGGCCUGUAGCGUGAAGCACAGAGAGUCCUGACUUGAAGAUGAGGUUCAAACCCUGCCCUGCCAACUGCCAGAUACUUACCAUCCCUGGAUGUCUGUCUCUUCACUCCAAAAUGUAGAUAAUGCUAAUAACAUCUCUCCGUUAGGGUUGCCAAGAGGACGAAAUGAGGCAGUCAGUGUGAAAACACAGCACAGGCCAAAAUAUUCGCGUAUUCUACAAGGAUGAGCUGCUACGCGUCCAGAGGUGGAAAACGCAAACAGAAUUCUUGCCCUCAGGUAGGCUGAUACUCAGAUCAGAAAGGUGGAAGAUAACUGACUAAAUGAAGGGCAGAACAUAAUUCCAAGCUGUUAUAGAUUCUAGGAGGGUGACAGAGUGUGGCCGGAGAGCCGGCGAGGGAUGGGCAAGCCUACCACUCACAGGGUGGUCAGGGAAAGCCAGACUGAGGAAAUGCCAUCCAAGCUGAGCUUGAAACACAAGAAGGCAGGAGGAAUUGGCGGUGUAGGUGGUGGGAACAGCAGGAGCAAAGGUCCUGAGGUGGCUGAGAACUUGGCAUAUACAAGAAAUGUGACCUUCUCUCCUCAGCUAGAGCAUUUACAGCUCCUAGUGCGUUCCUUGAGGGAAGAGCCGCACAGCACCCCGCACAGACUGGGCACUGGUCCGAUGAAUGAAUAAGCAAACAGGUGUCCUUUGGUUUCAGUAUUUGCCUCUACAUCUCCCCUCUCCCCGCCCUUAGCUGCACUGUGGAGUGAAAAGGAAGGAGGCUGCUCAACUGGAGGCUCUGGAGUUUUCCUCUCUGUGGGCAAAUUGCUUAGAUCACAGAGCCACAAGGACCCCAAAGUCCCACACUCCCACCUGUCACAGUCAAAGGAAGAGCCUCGGGACAGACUUGCCAGAACCCAUGGACCUGGUUGGAUGGGGGCCCACGUCUAGUGCUUUCCUAGCCCUGAAGCCUGCCUUGUUUAUUUGUUCAACAGGUUUGUUCAGCCAUGGCACAGCCUGUUCUGACUCUGGAACAUUUACAAGAUGAGCCAAAAAAUCACAAAAAAAUGGUUUGCUCUCGGAGCUAAAGGGCGGGGCAGCCAGGGUGGGAGACUAACUUUUUGGCUUGUCCUUUGCGAUCUUUUUCCCUCCUGCCCUCAGGAACCAAAGGGACUUUAAUGGGGUUUCCUGCCUCAGUCUUUCCAGAACCAGCAUGUGACCAGACUAGAACAUUCACCUGUAAGACUCCUGGUUCUCAGCUGCACCCUCAUCAGCUCUGUUCCAAACCCCAGCUUCCACCCUCUGAGUUCAAGCCACAGCCUGAUCCACCUGACCAGCCCGGGUAUGGAGGCA